This 58-nucleotide microRNA precursor is filed under the name Ictidomys tridecemlineatus (thirteen-lined ground squirrel). RNAcentral describes it as "miRNA (ENSSTOG00000028453.1)". Lineage: Eukaryota; Metazoa; Chordata; Mammalia; Rodentia; Sciuridae. The record is from RNAcentral.
UAUGUGUUCAUGUGCAUAUGUGUAUAUGUGUUAUACACAUACAUGUACACAUACACAC